This 549-nucleotide ribosomal RNA is filed under the name Alternaria alternata. RNAcentral describes it as "eukaryotic LSU rRNA". The stretch from base 173 to 326 matches the Rfam family "5.8S ribosomal RNA". The record is from RNAcentral. Lineage: Eukaryota; Fungi; Ascomycota; Dothideomycetes; Pleosporales; Pleosporaceae.
AUCAUUACACAAAUAUGAAGGCGGGCUGGAACCUCUCGGGGUUACAGCCUUGCUGAAUUAUUCACCCUUGUCUUUUGCGUACUUCUUGUUUCCUUGGUGGGUUCGCCCACCACUAGGACAAACAUAAACCUUUUGUAAUUGCAAUCAGCGUCAGUAACAAAUUAAUAAUUACAACUUUCAACAACGGAUCUCUUGGUUCUGGCAUCGAUGAAGAACGCAGCGAAAUGCGAUAAGUAGUGUGAAUUGCAGAAUUCAGUGAAUCAUCGAAUCUUUGAACGCACAUUGCGCCCUUUGGUAUUCCAAAGGGCAUGCCUGUUCGAGCGUCAUUUGUACCCUCAAGCUUUGCUUGGUGUUGGGCGUCUUGUCUCUAGCUUUGCUGGAGACUCGCCUUAAAGUAAUUGGCAGCCGGCCUACUGGUUUCGGAGCGCAGCACAAGUCGCACUCUCUAUCAGCAAAGGUCUAGCAUCCAUUAAGCCUUUUUUUCAACUUUUGACCUCGGAUCAGGUAGGGAUACCCGCUGAACUUAGCAUAUCAAUAAGGCGGAGGAAA